Molecule: ribosomal RNA, 432 nt
Filed under: uncultured bacterium
Lineage: Bacteria
Description: partial 16S ribosomal RNA
Rfam family: Bacterial small subunit ribosomal RNA
Source: RNAcentral
AACGAACGCUGGCGGCAGGCCUAACACAUGCAAGUCGAGCGAGGACUUCGGUUCUAGCGGCGGACGGGUGAGUAACGCGUGGGAAUGUGCCCUUCUCUACGGAAUAGCCCUGGGAAACUGGGAGUAAUACCGUAUACGCCCUUUUGGGGAAAGAUUUAUCGGAGAAGGAUCAGCCCGCGUUGGAUUAGGUAGUUGGUGGGGUAAUGGCCUACCAAGCCGACGAUCCAUAGCUGGUUUGAGAGGAUGAUCAGCCACACUGGGACUGAGACACGGCCCAGACUCCUACGGGAGGCAGCAGUGGGAAUCUUAGACAAUGGGGGCAACCCUGAUCGAGCCAUGCCGCGUGAGUGAUGAAGGCCUUAGGGUUGUAAAGCUCUUUCAGCUGGGAAGAUAAUGACGGUACCAGCAGAAGAAGCCCCGGCUAACUCCGUG